GAUGAACGCUGGCGGCGUGCCUAAUACAUGCCAGUCGAGCGAACGGACGAGAAGCUUGCUUCUCUGAUGUUAGCGGCGGACGGGUGAGUAACACGUGGAUAACCUACCUAUAAGACUGGGAUAACUUCGGGAAACCGGAGCUAAUACCGGAUGAUAUUUUGAACCGCAUGGUUCAAAAGUGAAAGACGGUCUUGCUGUCACUUAUAGAUGGAUCCGCGCUGCAUUAGCUAGUUGGUAAGGUAACGGCUUACCAAGGCAACGAUGCAUAGCCGACCUGAGAGGGUGAUCGGCCACACUGGAACUGAGACACGGUCCAGACUCCUACGGGAGGCAGCAGUAGGGAAUCUUCCGCAAUGGGCGAAAGCCUGACGGAGCAACGCCGCGUGAGUGAUGAAGGUCUUCGGAUCGUAAAACUCUGUUACUAGGGAAGAACAUAUGUGUAAGUAACUGUGCACAUCUUGACGGUACCUAAUCAGAAAGCCACGGCUAACUACGUG
This 497-nucleotide ribosomal RNA is filed under the name uncultured bacterium. Its description in RNAcentral is "partial 16S ribosomal RNA". It matches the Rfam family "Bacterial small subunit ribosomal RNA", at positions 28 to 507 of the family's 1533-position model. The record is from RNAcentral.